CAACUUCUCAAGCCUUGCAUAGACACAAAACCUGUACAGACUUUCCUUUUUUCUAGCACUACAAAAGUAUGGAAACUCCCAUGAGAAAACUCAGUUUACAUGGGAACGAGCAAACCUCAACAAGCGCCACUUUUACGGUCACUAACAACCAAAAAAGACCAAAAAUUCCAAGAAAGGUGAUCAUGCACACUGCAGGUCAAGAAGCACUCAUGGCACGACACCUACUUUCAUAGCUGGAGCAGCAGCAGGCUUGCUGGUUUCCUGCAGCGAGAUGACGCUCUGUCAGUCUCAAAGGCGUCGACGAGUGCCUUCACCUUACUCUUCCUCGCCUCAGCGACUCGGUCACGUUGUUGAACAGCCCUGGCUCCUGCUUUUUCGUUUCCUUCCUGUCCUGCCACCACCGCAGCACAACGACCUUGGCACCCGUGUCUCUCGCUACAGCAUCGUCGCCGCUCCUCCUACUUGUGAUCCUGUCGCAUCUGCUCCUGGAUGUCGCAAAUCAAAGGCACCCCGGGAAUUAAGGGGUAGCAGUGACAUGUAACUCGAGUAAAAUGCAGAUGCUUACCUUUGCAUUAAAAUGGUGGUUCCUUGUUACUGUAACCAGCUGAAAGAGAGAAAAAAUAUGCAAGAUGCAGUGAAGGAGAUGAACUGCAAUGAACUCUCUGACAUCUAUAAAUUUCUGACAUGUAAAACUCUCUAUCAUGCACAAAUUAAAAUCCUAUGGAAGGAUAGACUGAAGGAUUGAUUUUCAGUAUUUCUCUUAGUUGUGUUAGCAGCCAAGUAAUAUAUGUUUAACUAAAUAGAUGCAGUACUGUCUUGGUUUUCAGUCCAGAAGGUGAAUGAGUGUCAAGUUAACAAUUCCAAUAAUAAAAUUGACAUUGCCCGCAUCUGAUCAGCAACCACAUAUCUCGAAAUGACUUGUAGGAUAAAAAUAAGACAGAGAACAUCGCAUUAAUAGAUCUAACAACAUUGGAUGUCCCUGAUUCAUGCUGCAAACUCUAAUGCAAUAACAAAACAUGACCGUAAGAGUGAAUUUCAGUGUUGACGCACCUAAUGAGUUGAACAAAAUGCCAGCCUGAUGCCAUUAAGAUUCCUAGAAAAACAGGCACGAUAGAUGAUGUAGCAGUAGCCGCAGCAGUAGAGGAAGUAGGGAGGCAGAGCUGGUGGAGCCACAUCCAACCUACCAAGAAAUGAGCAAGACUUUUAAGCAUCCAUACUUUUUUUACCAUCAACACUGAUAUUCUUUUUUUCACAAGUGAUGAAUACCUAGGCUGGUCUGUAGGCAAGGGGAAAAAUCAAACAUAUAGACUAAAUGAAACUUAAACAAAAAACUAAUUACCCAGACAUAGCAAUUGACCCGAGUGUUUAGCCUUGCAAUAUUUUUUUGCUUCAGUCGUAAUUGGACGACAUCUAUGUUGAGGCAUGUUAAAAAAAAUUAACUUGCUCCACACAGGAGCGAAGCCGCAACACGGAUCAGAGGUGGAGGGCAGGCAUUCGGAGCUCACCUCGGCAGGCGGGCAGUUGGGAGACUUGAGUGUUCUCUGGUAUACAAAAAUCUGAUCAUAAACCUUGCUUCCAUGUACUGCAUUUAAGAGAGACUAAUAGCAUAGUAUCCCUGUUUUAUGAGUUCUAGUGUGUGUCUGGUGAUAUGCUCUUGUUCCCUGUUGUCUAUUUAAAUACAAUGUCCAAUUCAGUAUUUAUUUAGGCCAUGUUUGGAUAUUUGGAAUUAAAAUUUAUUCUAAUAAUCAUAAUUUAUACAUAGAUCAAUUAAGCUAAUAUGGUUAUAUGUGGAAUAUAUUUGUAAACUACUGUUAGACAUAUAAAGGAAAUACUUACAUGUUGCAUUUCUAUGUAUACUACUGUUAUUUGAUUGUCUGAAGUGAUCUAUGCAUCGAUCAUAUGACCAGAGAGUAGAUAUCCUCUGGAGGCAUCUGCCUUGGAAAGCUUUAGAUGUCUUCUAUUUGUCCCAUGUCUUUUUCCCGGUCCCUGCCCAUGCACAAAAUGGUACCAUAUUCAGAGUUUUAAAAACAUGCAUAGCACGUUGAAAUGGUAGGCGCAAACUUUGAUCUGUAGAAACCGAAAACAUGCAUAGCAACUUGCAUAAAACAUAUACAUGUUGCAAAAAGUAUGCAUCAAUAGUAGGUAUGGGAAUAUAAAUGUUGCUGAAAAUAUACAGGUUGCAGAAAAUGAAAAUCUAUACAAAUUGAAAACUGCCAUAGAAAUUGAAAUUUAGUACAAACUGAAAAGGUAGAUGUCUAUUUAUAUGAAGUGUCUGUUUAUGUUGCAAAAAUACGCAGGUUGUUCAAAGUGGUGUAGGCUGAAUUCUGAAUUUUCAGAUUUAGAAUAGUGCCUAAGUCUGAAUUUCAGUGAUUGUGACAGACUUUGGAGCUUCCUUGUGCUGUUGUGCAUAAUCCAUAAGGUUUUGAACUAUGGUUUCUAUAGAGGAAUUGAAGACCAUAAGUUGGUGUAUAAAUGUAUUUAAGGGUGAUGGAUAUGAUCCUACACAAAAAGUGGAGAAAAAGUUGACUGAAAAUGGACUAUUGGGUUACUCGUGACUGAAAUUGGUUCAGUUAAUUAAAACUGAAAUUCAGUAAAAGGUACCGAUUUUGGAGCUCAUUUGUGGCUAAUCCAUUUGGUUUUGGGCUAAAUUUUAUAUAUAUAAUUUGAAGAUCACAGUAAGGUGAACAAGUUUAUGCAAAUAAUUGGUCUUGUUAUUGUGUGUAAUUUGGAGAUAAUAGUGUUACGAAACUCCCUGUCAGAUUGGGUGCAGAGCUGUUUCAGACCUCUGAAACUGAAUUUUCAAAGUGGUGUAGGCUGCAAAUUGUGUAUCUAUAUGCAGAUAGCAGAACCUGUACUGAAAGUGUACAAGUUGUUUGUAACACUGAAUAAAGUGAAUAAAGUGUUGUAUGUAAUCAAAAUAAAGUGUUGUCUGUCAAGUGGUUUGGUUUGUGAUAGAACAAUGUCUACAUAUAUAGAAAUUAAUUCUCUAGCAACUGAUCUCAUGCACUCUGAACUCUUGCAAGCUUUGUAACAUUUCCAAAUUGCUUCAACCUGAUAGGCCUCUGUGAUUGCAGAAUGAAAGGCCUCUGUGUUUCAUCCAAAGUGGGUGCAUGCAUCAAUUUAGUAACAGAAAUUCACCGCAAUGGGUGUACCAGCCAAGCCAAAGAGUCUAAGUUACAGAUUUUGAGGAGGCAGAGUGGCUGGGAGGGAGUCUCAUUUCAGAAUAGGUCCUAUGUUGAACAACGCAUAAGCAGCUUCUCCAUGCUAAGUAGUCGAGCAGAAUAAUAUGCGGGCAAUGACUCGUACCAGCUGUUGGGCAUAUCGGAGCGGGGCAUGCCGUCAGCCUUCUUCGCGUGGCGGUCGCAGCACGGGACGUCGCUGGUGGGCAUCCUCUUCUCUGCGUUGGGCGUCCUUGGCGUAGACAGGGAAGUAGCUCGGCGCGACUUCCGCCCGACGUCCUUGGGCCACCGCGAGGCCCGUGUGCCCUGGGACUGCCUCACAUGGAGCUCGGCCAGGUUCGCGCUCUCCUAUCUCGCACCGACACCUGGGAGCAGCAGGGCCUGCCGUCGCACGUGAUGCUCAGCGGGACGAUGCGGCCAAAUCCUCACCAGGUUAUGCAAGGACAAGCACAGCGUGUGGUUCAACGCACACGUCGAGGUGGAGCGUCUUAGCCUCCAUGACUACCACGCCGUUCCCGCCAAGGAGGGCCUCGCUGCCGAAUGGUACGCCUCGCAGUAGGGUAUGGCGAGGUUUCGGGGGGAUCUCGCGCCGAGAUUUCUGUGGUGCACAUGGAAGAGGGCAAUUCAUGACGGGGGCGGACAACGCGGGAGCGGCGGGUGGGUGUGCGGGGCAGGAGCGUUGGCAGAGGCGGGGACAGGUGGGGGCCUUCUGGGUGUGGACGCCCACGGGCUGGGGCUCCGUUGAAGGGAUGGG
RNAcentral lists this long non-coding RNA (3933 nucleotides) under Zea mays. RNAcentral describes it as "long non-coding RNA (ZMAY_LNC005148)". Lineage: Eukaryota; Viridiplantae; Streptophyta; Magnoliopsida; Poales; Poaceae. The record is from RNAcentral.